CCUGGUCCAUGAUGAUCCGUCCUUUGGAGACUGCUGGAUGAGUCCUGCGGAUAUGGGGCUGAGGCCAGGC
This is a small nucleolar RNA of Melopsittacus undulatus (budgerigar), 70 nucleotides long. NCBI's taxonomy places the organism in Eukaryota, Metazoa, Chordata, Aves, Psittaciformes, Psittaculidae. The record is from Ensembl.